CACGCCCUAAACGAUGCUGACUAGUUGUUCGGGAUUUACAUCCUGAGUAACGUAGCUAACGCGUGAAGUCAGCCGCCUGGGGAGUACGGUCGCAAGAUUAAAACUCAAGGAAUUGACGGGGACCCGCACAAGCGGUGGAUGAUGUGGAUUAAUUCGAUGCAACGCGAAAAACCUUACCUACCCUUGACAUGUCACUAACGAAGUAGAGAUACAUUAGGUGCCCGUAAGGGAAAGUGAACACAGGUGC
Molecule: ribosomal RNA, 247 nt
Filed under: uncultured bacterium
Lineage: Bacteria
Description: partial 16S ribosomal RNA
Rfam family: Bacterial small subunit ribosomal RNA
Source: RNAcentral